AGAACAAGAUGACAUUGAUUCCAAAAUUCUCCACCUUUUUGAAUUAUCGGAUCAAUUCUCAAGGAUGGAAAAGUACUCUAUUGACGACAAAGAGGAAUUAAAAAAGACAAUUGAUGAGAUUCGACCUUCACAUUUUAGGAACCUGCAACAACUUUCGAUAAAAUGUUGUGAUCAAAUGCUAAACAAAUUGUUGUCUAUAUUGAUGAAGAGAGCAAAUAAGCUUGAAGAUAUCAGCAUUGAGCAAUGCAAAACUUUGGAACAUUUGUUUGAUCUCAAGGAGUUUACCCCUGACAAUGAUGGACAUGGAAAAUAUUUUACACAAAUAAAGAGAUUGAUAUUGAUAGAACUACAUGACUUGAAAUGCAUAUGGAACAAGAAUCCAAUAGGAUUUAUUGGUUUUGAAAAUUUGCAAAUGGUACACAUAAUAGAUUGUUCCUCUCUACAAAAGUUAUUCACUCCUUCUGUAGCUGAGAAGCUCAGUCAACUAAAUGAACUAAAGUUAGAGGCAUGUGAAAUGUUACAGGAAGUUAUUUACAAUGGUAUUAUUGACAAUGGUAUCAUUGGAACAAUUAAGUUCCCAGCAUUAAAUAAGGUGGAGUUCAAGUCUCUCUCAAGAUUGACUCGCUUUUACUUGUUUCCUUUAGAAUUCCCUCAACUAACAUCCUUGAUAAUAGAAAAAUGUCCUCAACUAGAAGAAUUUACAACUGGGUUUGCA
This 715-nucleotide small RNA is filed under the name Vigna angularis var. angularis. RNAcentral's name for it is "Non-protein coding transcript". The record is from RNAcentral. Lineage: Eukaryota; Viridiplantae; Streptophyta; Magnoliopsida; Fabales; Fabaceae.